Molecule: ribosomal RNA, 749 nt
Filed under: Turgenitubulus pagodula
Lineage: Eukaryota; Metazoa; Mollusca; Gastropoda; Stylommatophora; Camaenidae
Description: partial 16S ribosomal RNA
Rfam family: Archaeal large subunit ribosomal RNA (bases 310-551)
Source: RNAcentral
CGCGAAACUAAGGUGAGCUAAGUAAAUAUAAUUAUUAGAUUAUUCUAUGUAACAUAAUAUACAUAAAUAUUUACUUAGGGGUGACAGGUCUAUCAAAUCUAGAGAUAUCUCGAUACUUAAGAGAAACAUUGAGUGUUUAAACAAUAGUACAGUGAUUAGGCUGUAUUAAAACAUUAAUACGUGUAAUUUUUCGUAUUCUGAUUUAAUUAUUAAAUACUCGUUGUAUAUAACAUUUAUAUGCAAUUGCUUAUGGAACAUAUUAAGUCGUGAAACAAUUUAGCAUUGCAUUGAUAAUGUACCUAUUAGUAGUGUUAAAUUUAUGUAAAAUGAACUCGGCAACAUACCUUUCAACUGUUUACCAAAAACAUAAUUACGAGUAAUUAUUCGUAAUGGUUUCUGCUCAAUGCAAAAUUAAAUAGCCGCAGUACCCUGACUGUGCAAAGGUAGCGUAAUAAUUUGGCUUAUAAUUGAAGUCCUGUAUGAAUGAAUGCAUGAGGGGUAACUUUCUCUUACAUAGCAAGUGAACUUAUUUUUAAAGUGCAAAAUCUUUAAAGGAAAUGAUAGACGAGAAGACCCUAGAAAUUUUUAAUAUAUUGCGAGACGUCUUUUUUGUUGGGGCAACAGAGUAACAGAUAAUUUACUUUAUAUAACACGACUCUAUUGUGAAAGAUAAAAUUACUCUAGGGAUAACAGCGUAAUUUACAAAAGUUUGCGACCUCGAUGUUGGACUAGGAAACAAUUGUUCAGAA